Molecule: ribosomal RNA, 468 nt
Filed under: uncultured bacterium
Lineage: Bacteria
Description: partial 16S ribosomal RNA
Rfam family: Bacterial small subunit ribosomal RNA
Source: RNAcentral
GACGAACGCUGGCGGCGUGCUUAACACAUGCAAGUCGAACGGAAAGGCCCUGCUUUUGUGGGGUGCUCGAGUGGCGAACGGGUGAGUAACACGUGAGUAACCUGCCCUUGACUUUGGGAUAACUUCAGGAAACUGGGGCUAAUACCGGAUAGGAGCUCCUGCUGCAUGGUGGGGGUUGGAAAGUUUCGGCGGUUGGGGAUGGACUCGCGGCUUAUCAGCUUGUUGGUGGGGUAGUGGCUUACCAAGCCUUUGACGGGUAGCCGGCAUGGGAGGGGGACCGGCCACAUUGGGACUGAGAUACGGACCAGACUCCUACGGGAGGCAGCAGUGGGGAAUAUUGCAGAAUGGGCGGAAGCCUGAUGCAGCAACGCCGCGUGCGGGAUGACGGCCUUCGGGUUGUAAACCGCUUUCGCCUGUGACGAAGCGUGAGUGACGGUAAUGGGUAAAGAAGCACCGGCUAACUACGUG